RNAcentral lists this unclassified non-coding RNA (520 nucleotides) under uncultured Glomus. Its description in RNAcentral is "SSU rRNA". It matches the Rfam family "Eukaryotic small subunit ribosomal RNA", at positions 569 to 1089 of the family's 1831-position model. Lineage: Eukaryota; Fungi; Glomeromycota; Glomeromycetes; Glomerales; Glomeraceae. The record is from RNAcentral.
AGCAGCCGCGGUAAUUCCAGCUCCAAUAGCGUAUAUUAAAGUUGUUGCAGUUAAAAAGCUCGUAGUUGAAUUUCGGGAUCAAUAUGCUGGUCGUGCCAUUGGUACGUACUAGUAUUAUUGGUUUCUCCUUUCUGAUGAAUCAUGAUGUCAUUAAUUUGAUGUCAUGAGGAAUCAGGACUGUUACUUUGAAAAAAUUAGAGUGUUUAAAGCAGGCUCGCGCUUGAAUACAUUAGCAUGGAAUAAUGAAAUAGGAUGUUUGAUUCUAUUUUGUUGGUUUCUAGGAUUGACGUAAUGAUUAAUAGGGAUAGUUGGGGGCAUUAGUAUUCAAUUGUCAGAGGUGAAAUUCUUGGAUUUAUUGAAGACUAACUACUGCGAAAGCAUUUGCCAAGGAUGUUUUCAUUAAUCAAGAACGAAAGUUAGGGGAUCGAAGACGAUCAGAUACCGUCGUAGUCUUAACCAUAAACUAUGCCGACUAGGGAUCGGAUGAUGUUAAUUUUUUUAAUGACUCAUUCGGCGCCUU